RNAcentral lists this RNase P RNA (370 nucleotides) under Porphyromonas sp. RNAcentral's name for it is "RNase P RNA component class A". It matches the Rfam family "Bacterial RNase P class A". From Rfam's summary of the family: Ribonuclease P (RNase P) is a ubiquitous endoribonuclease, found in archaea, bacteria and eukarya as well as chloroplasts and mitochondria. The record is from RNAcentral. Lineage: Bacteria; Pseudomonadati; Bacteroidota; Bacteroidia; Bacteroidales; Porphyromonadaceae.
AGAGCAGGCAGGCUUGUCGCUGGUGUCUUUGGGACACGGGAGGAAAGUCCGGGCCACGUAGAGCACCAUGCUUCCUAACGGGAAGUUGCCGUGAGGCAAAUGAAACAUAACAGAAAAUAACCGCCACCCUAGGGUGGUAAGGGUGAAAAGGUGAGGUAAGAGCUUACCGGGCUGGUAGUGAUACACAGCCGCAGUAUGUAUCGUGGGUGGUAAGAUCGUGUAUACCGACGUAUUUGGUAGGGCUGCUCGCCCGAUGUCGAGGGGUAGAUCGCUAAAGGUGGGUGGUGACACUCAUCGUAGAUAAAUGACAGGCACGCGCUUCUUCGCGCAAGAGGUGCGGACAGAACCCGGCUUAUAGCAGGCUCUUGCU